UGGGGAAUUUUGGACAAUGGGGGAAACCCUGAUCCAGCCAUCCCGCGUGUGCGAUGAAGGCCUUCGGGUUGUAAAGCACUUUUAGCAGGAAAGAAACGUCAUGGGUUAAUACCCCGUGAAACUGACGGUACCUGCAGAAUAAGCACCGGCUAACUACGUGCCAGCAGCCGCGGUAAUACGUAGGGUGCAAGCGUUAAUCGGAAUUACUGGGCGUAAAGCGUGCGCAGGCGGUUCGGAAAGAAAGAUGUGAAAUCCCAGGGCUCAACUUUGGAACUGCCUUUUUAACUACCGGGCUAGAGUGUGUCAGAGGGAGGUGGAAUUCCGAGUGUAGAAGUGAAAUGCGUAGAUAUGCGGAGGAACACCGAUGGCGAAGGCAGCCUCCUGGGAUAACACUGACGCUCAUGCACGAAAGCGUGGGGAGCAAACAGG
This 429-nucleotide ribosomal RNA is filed under the name Acidobacteriota bacterium. Its description in RNAcentral is "Acidobacteria bacterium partial 16S ribosomal RNA". It matches the Rfam family "Bacterial small subunit ribosomal RNA", at positions 355 to 776 of the family's 1533-position model. The record is from RNAcentral. Lineage: Bacteria; Pseudomonadati; Acidobacteriota.